GUCUACGGCCAUACCACCCUGAAUGCGCCCGAUGUCACCUGAUCACAGAAGCUAAGCAGGGUCGGACCUGGUUAGUACUUGGAUGGGAGGCCAUGAAUUCAAUUCCCUACCCC
This 113-nucleotide ribosomal RNA is filed under the name Oryctolagus cuniculus (rabbit). Lineage: Eukaryota; Metazoa; Chordata; Mammalia; Lagomorpha; Leporidae. The record is from RNAcentral.